RNAcentral lists this ribosomal RNA (497 nucleotides) under uncultured bacterium. Its description in RNAcentral is "partial 16S ribosomal RNA". It matches the Rfam family "Bacterial small subunit ribosomal RNA", at positions 29 to 507 of the family's 1533-position model. The record is from RNAcentral.
AAUGAACGCUGGCGGCGUGCCUAAUACAUGCAAGUCGAGCGAACAGACGAGGAGCUUGCUCCUCUGACGUUAGCGGCGGACGGGUGAGUAACACGUGGAUAACCUACCUAUAAGACUGGGAUAACUUCGGGAAACCGGAUCUAAUACCGGAUAAUAUAUCGAACCGCAUGAUUCAAUAGUUAAAGACGGUUUUGCUGUCACUUAUAGAUGGAUCCGCGCCGCAUUAGCUAGUUGGUAAGGUAACGGCUUACCAAGGCAACGAUGCGUAGCCGACCUGAGAGGGUGAUCGGCCACACUGGAACUGAGACACGGUCCAGACUCCUACGGGAGGCAGCAGUAGGGAAUCUUGCGCAAUGGGCGAAAGCUUGACGGAGCAACGCCGCGUGAGUGAUGAAGGUCUUCGGAUCGUAAAACUCUGUUAUUAGGGAAGAACAAAUGUGUAAGUAACUAUGCACGUCUUGACGGUACCUAAUCAGAAAGCCACGGCUAACUACGUG